RNAcentral lists this ribosomal RNA (307 nucleotides) under uncultured Spirochaeta sp. RNAcentral describes it as "bacterial SSU rRNA". It matches the Rfam family "Bacterial small subunit ribosomal RNA", at positions 1075 to 1382 of the family's 1533-position model. Lineage: Bacteria; Pseudomonadati; Spirochaetota; Spirochaetia; Spirochaetales; Spirochaetaceae. The record is from RNAcentral.
UUGGGUUAAGUCCCGCAAACGAGCGCAACCCCUGCUGCCUGUUGCCCACCACGAGAGGUGGGACUCAGGCGGGACCGCCGGUGACAAACCGGAGGAAGGUGGGACGACGUCAAGUCAUCAUGGCCCUUAUGUCCUGGGCUACACACGUGCUACAAUGGCCGGUACAGAGCGCAGCGAGGCCGCGAGGCGGAGCGAAUCGCUUAAAGCCGGUCCCAGUACGGAUUGGAGUCUGCAACCCGACUCCAUGAAGUUGGAAUCGCUAGUAAUCGCGCAUCAGCAUGGCGCGGUGAAUACGUUCCCGGGCCUU